This is a non-coding RNA of Pelobates cultripes (western spadefoot toad), 218 nucleotides long. NCBI's taxonomy places the organism in Eukaryota, Metazoa, Chordata, Amphibia, Anura, Pelobatidae. The record is from the annotation of a GenBank genome assembly.
GUCUAGGCCUGGUGGAAAGUCGGUGUUGUGUGUCAGUGGUGUUAGGGGGAGGGGUAUGGUGCUAAGCCGUUUGCCUUCGAUGUCCUGCGCCACACGUUCAUGGUGUAUUCGGUGUAUGGGGACAUUUCCCUGUGUCCCGGAUCUCUCCGGCCCCAGGGUAUAACUGAAAGCGGCACGCCCGCCUCUGUCUCCUCUGCUACUUUCCAGAGUUUAUGGAC